CGGGCCGCGGGCGCGGGGCGGGGAGGCGGCGGUUCCCAGCUCCGCAGCGGGCUCUGGAAGCUGCCGGGAACUUCGCGAGCCGACGGGAGUUUGGAAAUUCAGUUGGGACAGGAAGCAGAAAAGAAGUUGGAAUUGGUGGUCUCAAUGAAAAGUUGGAGUAGACACAUCUCAGACAUAGAAAUGGAUGGCUGAAAAGUUUUGCUGUUGAAUGUGAAUGGAGUUCUGCCACGUACAAAGCAAAGGCUUCAGAAUAACAGCUUGGGUUCCGUGUUGGUCUGAGAAUACAUCCAGCCAUCGAGUACAGAUUGGGUACUCGGACAGCUGAAUAGAACCUGUGAAAAUCAAGAACAUUUAGGCAUGUGGAGAAAAGAAGGAAAAUUAAUCACUCAGCCAUCAAAAAAACAACAGUGCUUGAAUCAGAUGUACAGGAACAGCAUAAAACUAACUGAAAGGAUAUUGCCUUUGGAAGAACAAUCUCUUCAGAAGCUCUCUGAAAUUACAUCUACCUUGCCUACUCUGGCCAGUUUCAUCAUGAACGCAGAAUUCUUAAAGGCUGUCCUAGGUUCAAGGAGGAGUAACUGAAAGCUAGGCCUGUUAGGGCCACUUCUAAUUCAAGGAGAUCCUAAUAUGUGUAGAGUUGGGACUCCUAGGAACACUUUCAGUUAUUUAAAUUACAUAAUACCUUUUUUUUAAGGUGGUAGGCUUGCAUCAAAUUUGGCUGUAAAAUGCUGUCUGUAGUGUUUGAUACCACAGACAUUCCAGGAUGGUUUACUCACAUGCAACCUUCUGUGCUUGUUCCAAGGGCAAUGUAUGAUAAAGCUCAAUGACUGAUUUCUCUUUUGGUUUCACAGGGAUCAGUCCAGACAACUCAAUAAAGAUAACUGGAUCUGAAACACAAAUUGCAGCAUGUGUGAGAGUUACAGGAUGACUCUCACUAGCUAUUUCUUAACCUUCCUACUACGCCUCUCUGAAAAGGUGGGAUUGGGUAGUCUUUAAAUAGGCACAUUCUCUGCAUCUCUUGAGUUGCUGCUGAGACAUUGCUGGCCUGCCUCGCUGCCCUCCCGGGAUCCCAGUGCCAGGUGAGAGUGGACUGCCAAGAGAACUGGUAGCAGAAGUGGCUGGUUUUAACUGGCUUUGAAAAACCUGAACAACUUUUAUUUUCAUUGAAAGCAUCAUUAAACUGAGGAACCUGGAAA
Long non-coding RNA from Apus apus (common swift), 1196 nucleotides. RefSeq lists it as uncharacterized. The transcript is spliced from 6 exons. NCBI's taxonomy places the organism in Eukaryota, Metazoa, Chordata, Aves, Apodiformes, Apodidae. The record is from RefSeq and is a predicted model, not a curated record.